GUGAAGCCCAGCUUGCUGGGUGGAUCAGUGGCGAACGGGUGAGUAACACGUGAGCAACCUGCCCUCCACUUCGGGAUAAGCCUUGGAAACGGGGUCUAAUACCGGAUAUGAGCUCGCAUCGCAUGGUGUGGGUUGGAAAGUUUUUCGGUGGGGGAUGGGCUCGCGGCCUAUCAGCUUGUUGGUGGGGUGAUGGCCUACCAAGGCGUCGACGGGUAGCCGGCCUGAGAGGGCGACCGGCCACACUGGGACUGAGACACGGCCCAGACUCCUACGGGAGGCAGCAGUGGGGAAUAUUGCACAAUGGGCACAAGCCUGAUGCAGCGACGCCGCGUGAGGGAUGACGGCCUUCGGGUUGUAAACCUCUUUCAGCAGGGAAGAAGCGCAAGUGACGGUACCUGCAGAAGAAGCGCCGGCUAACUACGUGCCAGCAGCCGCGGUAAUACGUAGGGCGCAAGCGUUGUCCGGAAUUAUUGGGCGUAAAGAGCUCGUAGGCGGUCUGUCGCGUCUGGUGUGAAAUCCCGAGGCUCAACCUCGGGCUUGCAUCGGGUACGGGCAGACUAGAGUGCGGUAGGGGAGACUGGAAUUCCUGGUGUAGCGGUGGAAUGCGCAGAUAUCAGGAGGAACACCGAUGGCGAAGGCAGGUCUCUGGGCCGCAACUGACGCUGAGGAGCGAAAGCAUGGGGAGCGAACAGGAUUAGAUAUCCUGGUAGUCCAUGCCGUAAACGUUGGGCACUAGGUGUGGGGCUCAUUCCACGAGUUCCGUGCCGCAGCUAACGCAUUAAGUGCCCCGCCUGGGGAGUACGGCCGCAAGGCUAAAACUCAAAGGAAUUGACGGGGGCCCGCACAAGCGGCGGAGCAUGCGGAUUAAUUCGAUGCAACGCGAAGAACCUUACCAAGGCUUGACAUGUACGAGAAAGCCCCCGAGACGGGGUUCUCUUUGGACACUCGUACACAGGUGGUGCAUGGUUGUCGUCAGCUCGUGUCGUGAGAUGUUGGGUUAAGUCCCGCAACGAGCGCAACCCUCGUCCUAUGUUGCCAGCGGGUUAUGCCGGGGACUCAUGGGAGACUGCCGGGGUCAACUCGGAGGAAGGUGGGGAUGACGUCAAAUCAUCAUGCCCCCUAUGUCUUGGGCUUCACGCAUGCUACAAUGGCCGGUACAGAGGGCUGCGAUACCGUAAGGUGGAGCGAAUCCCAAAAAGCCGGUCUCAGUUCGGAUUGGGGUCUGCAACUCGACCCCA
RNAcentral lists this ribosomal RNA (1238 nucleotides) under uncultured bacterium. RNAcentral's name for it is "bacterial SSU rRNA". It matches the Rfam family "Bacterial small subunit ribosomal RNA", at positions 68 to 1320 of the family's 1533-position model. The record is from RNAcentral.